Molecule: ribosomal RNA, 401 nt
Filed under: Salmonella enterica subsp. enterica serovar Infantis
Lineage: Bacteria; Pseudomonadati; Pseudomonadota; Gammaproteobacteria; Enterobacterales; Enterobacteriaceae
Description: bacterial LSU rRNA
Rfam family: Bacterial large subunit ribosomal RNA
Source: RNAcentral
ACAUCCUGGGGCUGAAGUAGAUCCCAAGGGUAUGGCUGUUCGCCAUUUAAAGUGGUACGCGAGCUGGGUUUAGAACGUCGUGAGACAGUUCGGUCCCUAUCUGCCGUGGGCGCUGGAGAACUGAGGGGGGCUGCUCCUAGUACGAGAGGACCGGAGUGGACGCAUCACUGGUGUUCGGGUUGUCAUGCCAAUGGCACUGCCCGGUAGCUAAAUGCGGAAGAGAUAAGUGCUGAAAGCAUCUAAGCACGAAACUUGCCCCGAGAUGAGUUCUCCCUGAGACUUUAAGUCUCCUGAAGGAACGUUGAAGACGACGACGUUGAUAGGCCGGGUGUGUAAGCGCAGCGAUGCGUUGAGCUAACCGGUACUAAUGAACCGUGAGGCUUAACCUUACAACGCCGAAG